RNAcentral lists this unclassified non-coding RNA (19 nucleotides) under synthetic construct. Its description in RNAcentral is "RNA (5'-R(P*AP*CP*CP*GP*GP*AP*GP*AP*GP*GP*GP*AP*AP*CP*CP*CP*AP*CP*U)-3') from synthetic construct (PDB 8P4D, chain P)". The record is from RNAcentral.
ACCGGAGAGGGAACCCACU